AAAUAUGAAGCAAUAUUAUGCAUUUAAUUUCGGCUUAAAAGAAAGAGUAAUAACUCCAUAUUUU
Molecule: transfer RNA, 64 nt
Filed under: Papilio dardanus (African swallowtail butterfly)
Lineage: Eukaryota; Metazoa; Arthropoda; Insecta; Lepidoptera; Papilionidae
Also listed under: 3 other names
Description: tRNA-Arg
Source: RNAcentral